GACGAACGCUGGCGGCGUGCUUAACACAUGCAAGUCGAACGGUAAGGCCCUUCGGGGUACACGAGUGGCGAACGGGUGAGUAACACGUGGGUGAUCUGCCCUGCACUUCGGGAUAAGCCUGGGAAACUGGGUCUAAUACCGGAUAGGACUCCGGACUGCAUGGUCUGGGGUGGAAAGCUUUUGCGGUGUGGGAUGGGCCCGCGGCCUAUCAGCUUGUCGGUGGGGUGAUGGCCUACCAAGGCGACGACGGGUAGCCGGCCUGAGAGGGGGACCGGCCACACUGGGACUGAGAUACGGCCCAGACUCCUACGGGAGGCAGCAGUGGGGAAUAUUGCACAAUGGGCGCAAGCCUGAUGCAGCGACGCCGCGUGAGGGAUGACGGCCUUCGGGUUGUAAACCUCUUUCAGCAUCGACGAAGCGAAAGUGACGGUAGGUGCAGAAGAAGGACCGGCCAACUACGUGCCAGCCGCCGCAGUAA
Molecule: ribosomal RNA, 478 nt
Filed under: uncultured bacterium
Lineage: Bacteria
Description: partial 16S ribosomal RNA
Rfam family: Bacterial small subunit ribosomal RNA
Source: RNAcentral